GGAUGAACGCUGGCGGCGUGCCUAAUACAUGCAAGUCGAGCGAACGGACGAGAAGCUUGCUUCUCUGAUGUUAGCGGCGGACGGGUGAGUAACACGUGGAUAACCUACCUAUAAGACUGGGAUAACUUCGGGAAACCGGAGCUAAUACCGGAUGAUAUUUUGAACCGCAUGGUUCAAAAGUGAAAGACGGUCUUGCUGUCACUUAUAGAUGGAUCCGCGCUGCAUUAGCUAGUUGGUAAGGUAAUGGCUUACCAAGGCAACGAUGCAUAGCCGACCUGAGAGGGUGAUCGGCCACACUGGAACUGAGACACGGUCCAGACUCCUACGGGAGGCAGCAGUAGGGAAUCUUCCGCAAUGGGCGAAAGCCUGACGGAGCAACGCCGCGUGAGUGAUGAAGGUCUUCGGAUCGUAAAACUCUGUUAUUAGGGAAGAACAUAUGUGUAAGUAACUGUGCACAUCUUGACGGUACCUAAUCAGAAAGCCACGGCUAACUACGUG
RNAcentral lists this ribosomal RNA (498 nucleotides) under uncultured bacterium. RNAcentral describes it as "partial 16S ribosomal RNA". It matches the Rfam family "Bacterial small subunit ribosomal RNA", at positions 27 to 507 of the family's 1533-position model. The record is from RNAcentral.